This 525-nucleotide long non-coding RNA is filed under the name Equus caballus (horse). RNAcentral's name for it is "lncRNA (ENSECAG00000059783.1)". Lineage: Eukaryota; Metazoa; Chordata; Mammalia; Perissodactyla; Equidae. The record is from RNAcentral.
GGCCGGUCGGGGCUUGCGCCCCAGCAGUCCGCACGCCAGGUGGAAGUGCUUGUGAGGUCGGGCUCCGCCCUUGCGCCCCAGCAGGCCUCGCGUCAGGUGGAAGUGCUCGCGAGGUUUCCCAGGGCCACGCGGUAGCCGUGCAGGGGCGGGGUGGGGUUUACGACGGUGGCCGGGGCUGGGGAGCCGUGACAACUUGCUGGGCGCCAGGGCAGGGAGAGGAUUAUUUGACACAUAAAUCCUUUGAAGCACCAAUUCUGUUUUAGAUGCGGACAUUGAAGUGCAAAGAAAUGAAAUAAUUGCCCAAGGUCAUGGAGCUAGAAUGCAGUGAAGCCAAGCUACAAAUCUAGACUCUUAAGCCCUUUGCUCCCAAGUCUAUUAAUCUCUGCUUCCAGUAGGAAUCUCCAGCGAUAAAACAAGCUUAAUUUAAACAACUAGGGAAACACCUUCCAAUGCGCUAAUAAUAUUACAAGUAAAAAGGCUGUAAGUGCUCCAGGAAAGUAGAAAAUCAAUAAAGGCUUUACGUCA